CGAUCUGCUCCUGCAUGCAGUUGGGAAUCCCACGCCAAGGUCAAUCUGCUCCAACACACGUGUUUGCCGUGACAUGACUGCCGCUGUUAUCCAUCGGGGGAUAUUAUAUUUAUACCAAGUGCCGCUCCGAUUCGUCACACACACAACAUCAGAGCUAGCUACUGGUGUGUCAACGAUUAAAGCUAAGGAUCAACUUGCCUAGAAAGACAACACAGAAGGACCUGAUGCAUUAUGCACUGCUUGGGUGCAUCAUGGGCGCCGAGGAAUGUAGUUGACCAAGUUUUCAUGCAUAGUUACUUUGUGUUGCAAACAAAUUCUGACUUCAAUGCGAUAAUUUGGACCUCAGUUCUUAUGACAAGUACUCAUGCUCUUUUCAGACAAAUGCUUUGAGACAAA
This is a long non-coding RNA of Triticum aestivum (bread wheat), 396 nucleotides long. RefSeq lists it as uncharacterized. The transcript is spliced from 4 exons. NCBI's taxonomy places the organism in Eukaryota, Viridiplantae, Streptophyta, Magnoliopsida, Poales, Poaceae. The record is from RefSeq and is a predicted model, not a curated record.